RNAcentral lists this ribosomal RNA (717 nucleotides) under Scutellinia geneospora. RNAcentral describes it as "eukaryotic LSU rRNA". It matches the Rfam family "Eukaryotic large subunit ribosomal RNA", at positions 149 to 876 of the family's 3401-position model. Lineage: Eukaryota; Fungi; Ascomycota; Pezizomycetes; Pezizales; Pyronemataceae. The record is from RNAcentral.
UUUGGAGGGAUUUCUUCGGUGGCGGCGCCGUCCUAAGUUCCUUGGAACAGGACGUCACAGAGGGUGAGAAUCCCGUGCCUGGAUGGCGGACCGUCACCAUUGUGAAGAAUCUCCGACGAGUCGAGUUGUUUGGGAAUGCAGCUCAAAAUGGGUGGUAAAUUUCAUCUAAAGCUAAAUAUUGGCGAGAGACCGAUAGCGCACAAGUAGAGUGAUCGAAAGAUGAAAAGCACUUUGAAAAGAGAGUUAAAAAGUACGUGAAAUUGUUGAAAGGGAAGCGCUUGCGACCAGACUCGAUCUUUGGUGAUCAGCCGGGCCCUUCCGGGUCAAGCUGCUCUUGCCACUGAUCGGGCCAGCAUCGGUUCCGAGGGCGGGAUAAAAGGGGUGGGGAAUGUGGCUUCCCUCGGGGAGUGUUAUAGACCCCCUCACAAUGCCGCCACUUGGGACCGAGGACCGCGCUUCGGCUAGGAUGCUGGCGUAAUGGUCUUAAGCGACCCGUCUUGAAACACGGACCAAGGAGUCUAACAUCUAUGCGAGUGUUCGGGUGGAAAACCCCUGCGCGUAAUGAAAGUGAACGGAGGUGUGAACCCUCACGGGUGCAACAUCGACCGGUCCUGAUGUCUUCGGAUGGAUCUGAGUAAGAGCAUAGCUGUUGGGACCCGAAAGAUGGUGAACUAUGCCUGAAUAGGGUGAAGCCAGAGGAAACUCUGGUGGAGGCUC